AUGAACGCUGGCGGCGUGCCUAAUCCCUGCAAGUCGCGCGAACAGACGAGGAGCUUGCUCCUCUGACGUUAGCGGCGGCCGGGUGAGUAACACGUGGUUAACCUACCUAUAAGACUGGGAUAACUUCGGGAAACCGGAGCUAAUACCGGAUAAUAUAUUGAACCGCAUGGUUCAAUAGUGAAAGACGGUUUUGCUGUCACUUAUAGAUGGAUCCGCGCCGCAUUAGCUAGUUGGUAAGGUAACGGCUUACCAAGGCAACGAUGCGUAGCCGACCUGAGAGGGUGAUCGGCCACACUGGAACUGAGACACGGUCCAGACUCCUACGGGAGGCAGCAGUAGGGAAUCUUCCGCAAUGGGCGAAAGCCUGACGAAGCAACGCCGCGUGAGUGAUGAAGGUCUUCGGAUCGUAAAACUCUGUUAUUAGGGAAGAACAAAUGUGUAAGUAACUAUGCACGUCUUGACGGUACCUAAUCAGAAAGCCACGGCUAACUACGUG
RNAcentral lists this ribosomal RNA (496 nucleotides) under uncultured bacterium. RNAcentral describes it as "partial 16S ribosomal RNA". It matches the Rfam family "Bacterial small subunit ribosomal RNA", at positions 29 to 507 of the family's 1533-position model. The record is from RNAcentral.